CCAAAGGCUCUUUUCAGAGCCACCCACCUCUUCAAAUAGGAGAGCU
Mesocricetus auratus (golden hamster) is the source of this 46-nucleotide non-coding RNA. Lineage: Eukaryota; Metazoa; Chordata; Mammalia; Rodentia; Cricetidae. The record is from Rfam.